UGACACGUGUCGAUGACUCAGCAACUCAUUCGCCGCCAUUGAGCCCUCGCGGGCCGCGUAAAACCUUUCCUAUCUCUUACGCGGGCCGCGUAAAACGGAGAAUCAGGCCCUAUAAAUAGAGACCUUCGGCCGUUCAUUUGAAAUCGCACCAAAAUUCUUUCUCUCUCGAAUUUCUGAAGAAUUAAAGUAAUUCUCGGGUAUUAUACCCCCUAAUUAGUGAAGCUCUGUCUCGUUAUUAUAACCAGGAAGCCACAAAGGAAAUACCUAAAAUAGCAAUUACUGAAUGAGUAAUUGGGUAACUUAGUAUGAAGAACAUAAAAGCCAGCUGGAGAGCACUGAAGGCUUAGAAAAGUGGCUAUAAAAGUUACCUAAAUAAAAGAAAGUGU
RNAcentral lists this long non-coding RNA (386 nucleotides) under Helianthus annuus (common sunflower). Its description in RNAcentral is "sRNA HanXRQr2_Chr07g0279851". The record is from RNAcentral. Lineage: Eukaryota; Viridiplantae; Streptophyta; Magnoliopsida; Asterales; Asteraceae.